This 270-nucleotide ribosomal RNA is filed under the name uncultured archaeon. RNAcentral's name for it is "partial 16S ribosomal RNA". It matches the Rfam family "Archaeal small subunit ribosomal RNA", at positions 477 to 747 of the family's 1478-position model. The record is from RNAcentral.
CAGCACCUCAAGUGGUCAGGAUGAUUAUUGGGCCUAAAGCAUCCGUAGCCUGCUUUGUAAGUUUUCGGUUAAAUCCAUACGCUUAACGUAUGGGCUGCCGGGAAUACUGCAAAGCUAGGGAGUGGGAGAGGUAGACGGUACUCGGUAGGGAGGGGUAAAAUCCUUUGAUCUAUUGAUGACCACCUGUGGCGAAGGCGGUCUACCAGAACACGUCCGACGGUGAGGGAUGAAAGCUGGGGGAGCAAACCGGAUUAGAUACCCGAGUAGUCC